This 79-nucleotide transfer RNA is filed under the name Promethearchaeota archaeon. RNAcentral's name for it is "Candidatus Lokiarchaeota archaeon (marine sediment metagenome) tRNA-Trp". It matches the Rfam family "tRNA". Rfam says of the family: Transfer RNA (tRNA) molecules are approximately 80 nucleotides in length. Their secondary structure includes four short double-helical elements and three loops (D, anti-codon, and T loops). The record is from RNAcentral. Lineage: Archaea; Promethearchaeati; Promethearchaeota.
GCCGCCGUGGCUCAGCCAGGUAGAGCCAAAUUAGCGCCAAACCCGUCGGUCGCAGGUUCGAAGCCUGCCGGCGGCGCCA